CGGCGUGUAGCUCAAUCAGCGAGAGCACCAGGCUUCGGACCUGGAGGGUGCGGGGGCGGUUCCCGCCACGUCGG
Molecule: transfer RNA, 74 nt
Filed under: Catenulispora pinistramenti
Lineage: Bacteria; Bacillati; Actinomycetota; Actinomycetes; Catenulisporales; Catenulisporaceae
Description: Catenulispora sp. NL8 tRNA-Arg
Rfam family: tRNA
About the family: Transfer RNA (tRNA) molecules are approximately 80 nucleotides in length. Their secondary structure includes four short double-helical elements and three loops (D, anti-codon, and T loops). Further hydrogen bonds mediate the characteristic L-shaped molecular structure. tRNAs have two regions of fundamental functional importance: the anti-codon, which is responsible for specific mRNA codon recognition, and the 3' end, to which the tRNAs corresponding amino acid is attached (by aminoacyl-tRNA synthetases). tRNAs cope with the degeneracy of the genetic code in two manners: having more than one tRNA (with a specific anti-codon) for a particular amino acid; and 'wobble' base-pairing, i.e. permitting non-standard base-pairing at the 3rd anti-codon position.
Source: RNAcentral